RNAcentral lists this long non-coding RNA (841 nucleotides) under Helianthus annuus (common sunflower). RNAcentral describes it as "hypothetical non coding rna". The record is from RNAcentral. Lineage: Eukaryota; Viridiplantae; Streptophyta; Magnoliopsida; Asterales; Asteraceae.
UAACCCCAGGGACUAAAGUUGUCUUUUAGCUUAAACCUUAAUCCCCUUCUCCUUUAAUAAAAAAAAAGAAACCCUACCUUUUCAUUCUUGCAGCCGACACCAUCUUGUUCCCUCUCAAUUCCUUUUAUCUUCAACUUACGAACAUGUAAUACACACACAAACUCCUUGUUACACCCAUCUCCUUCAAACAUAACAGCAAAUCCUAACCAUGUCAGCCGGUUCUCCGGCGCCCAGCUUCUCCGACAAGCACCACGUCCCCUCUUCGUCGUAAACAUACCGCACAACACCAUAACAUUCUUUUCGGUUAGCCUACAACUUGCCGAAAUGAUCUCGGAAACCACCGUUCACCUUCACCACCUCGUUCGAACCCCCUUACAGCUUGUCGGAAACCUGCGCGUCCAUCGUCGGAACCGGGAGCUCUCACCGGAGUAAACCACAAGUCGCCGGAGAUACGAGAAGACGACCAGAAAUUCUGCACCUCGCGGGAGUUCACAGAUCGCAUCGGGGUUUCGCGGACGCCUCCCUUCACUCGUUCGGUAUACAGUUAUGUCUCUCGUUCGUUCUCUUGGGAACCCCAAAUUCUUACUCGUGCGUUAUUUCAAGAAAUCGCAACGCAAUCACUGUUGACAGUCAAGAUGUUGAAGAAUCAAGUUAGGAUGGACUAGAUACUCAUUUUAAUAAUAAACCAUGUUUGUUGCAAAUUGUCUUUAUUUGAAACAAUGUAUUUGAAUUUAGUCAUUUAUGAAAUUUGAUUUAAUCUAUAUUGUCACAAAUAGUGUUAUGAUGCUUUUGAGCGAUUUGUUCGUCUCAUCCCGAUGUUUCCGCCAUCGGUUGGGGUGUG